This 78-nucleotide small nucleolar RNA is filed under the name Pteropus vampyrus (large flying fox). Its description in RNAcentral is "Small nucleolar RNA SNORD47 (ENSPVAG00000027965.1)". The record is from RNAcentral. Lineage: Eukaryota; Metazoa; Chordata; Mammalia; Chiroptera; Pteropodidae.
AACUUUCAAAAAUGAAGUCAAGUCAAAUGAAAUAGAAUGAUAUCAUUCAUGAAACUGUUUCAUUUUGAUUCUGAGGUU